CCUACGGGGAGCUGCAGUGGGGAAUAUUGCACAAUGGGGGGAACCCUGAUGCAGCAAUGCCGCGUGGGUGAUGAAGCACUUCGGUGCGGAAAGCCCUGUCAGCAGGGAAGAAAAUGACAGUACCUGGACAAGAAGCCCCGGCUAACUCCGUGCCAGCAGCCGUGGUAAUACGUAGGGGGCAAGCGUUAUCCGGAUUUCCUGGGUGUAAGGGGAGCGCAGGCGGCGUGGCAAGUCAGAUGUGAAAACCCGGGGCCAAACCCCGGGAGUGCAUUUGAAACUGCCAUGCUGGAGUGCCGGAGAGGUAAGCGGAAUUCGUAGUGUAGCGGUGAAAUGCGUAGAUAUUAGGAGGAACACCGGUGGCGGAGGCGGCUUACUGGACGGUAACUGACGCUGAGGCUCGAAAGCGUGGGGAGCAAACAGGAUUAGAUACCCGUGUAGUC
This 440-nucleotide ribosomal RNA is filed under the name uncultured bacterium. RNAcentral describes it as "partial 16S ribosomal RNA". It matches the Rfam family "Bacterial small subunit ribosomal RNA", at positions 338 to 795 of the family's 1533-position model. The record is from RNAcentral.